This 460-nucleotide ribosomal RNA is filed under the name uncultured bacterium. Its description in RNAcentral is "partial 16S ribosomal RNA". It matches the Rfam family "Bacterial small subunit ribosomal RNA", at positions 338 to 795 of the family's 1533-position model. The record is from RNAcentral.
CCUACGGGAGGCAGCAGUGAGGAAUAUUGGUCAAUGGACGCAAGUCUGAACCAGCCAUGCAGCGUGCAGGAAGACGGCCCUAUGAGUUGUAAACUGCUUUUGUACGAGGGUAAACGCAGAUACGCGUAUCUGUCUGAAAGUAUCGUACGAAUAAGGAUCGGCUAACUCCGUGCCAGCAGCCGCGGUAAUACGGAGGAUUCAAGCGUUAUCCGGAUUUAUUGGGUUUAAAGGGUGCGUAGGCGGUUGGUUAAGUUAGAGGUGAAAGUCCGAGGCUAAACUUCGGAAUUGCCUGUGAUACUGGUCGGCUAGAGAGUAGUUGCGGUAGGCGGAAUGUAUGGUGUAGCGGUGAAAUGCUUAGAGAUCAUACAGAACCCCGAUUGCGAAGGCAGCUUACCAAGCUACUUCUGACGUUGAGGCACGAAAGCGUGGGGAGCAAACAGGAUUAGAUACCCGAGUAGUC